This 378-nucleotide ribosomal RNA is filed under the name uncultured bacterium. RNAcentral's name for it is "bacterial SSU rRNA". It matches the Rfam family "Bacterial small subunit ribosomal RNA", at positions 523 to 898 of the family's 1533-position model. The record is from RNAcentral.
AGACGUAGGGCGCAAGCGUUGUCCGGAUUUAUUGGGCGUAAAGAGCUCGUAGGCGGCCUGUCGCGUCAACCGUGAAAUCCCGCGGCUUAACUGUGGGCGUGCGGUUGAUACGGGUGGGCUGGAGUUCGGUAGGGGAGACUGGAAUUCCUGGUGUAGCGGUGAAAUGCGCAGAUAUCAGGAGGAACACCGGUGGCGAAGGCGGGUCUCUGGGCCGAUACUGACGCUGAGGAGCGAAAGCGUGGGGAGCGAACAGGAUUAGAUACCCUGGUAGUCCACGCUGUAAACUGUGGGCGCUAGGUGUGGGGGGCCUUCCCGGGUUCCGGUGCCGUAGCUAACGCAUUAAGCGCCCCGCCUGGGGAGUACGGCCGCAAGGCUAAA